UGAGGAAUAUUACGCAAUGGGGGAAACCCUGACGCAGCAACGCCGCGUGAGUGAGGAAGGUUUUCGGACCGUAAAGCUCUGUCGAACGGGAAGAAAUGCAUGGUGGCUAAUAUCCAUUAUGCUUGACGGUACCGUUAAAGGAAGCACCGGCUAACUCCGUGCCAGCAGCCGCGGUAAUACGGGGGGUGCUAGCGUUGUUCGGAAUCAUUGGGCGUAAAGAGCGUGUAGGCGGCUGGACAAGUCAGAUGUGAAAGCCCUAGGCUUAACCUAGGAAGUGCAUUUGAAACUGUUCAGCUGGAGUAGGGGAGAGGAAAGUGGAAUUCCUGGUGUAGAGGUGAAAUUCGUAGAUAUCAGGAAGAACACCGGUGGCGAAGGCGGCUCUCUGGUCCGAUACUGACGCUGAAGCGCGAAAGUGCGGGGAGCGAACA
RNAcentral lists this ribosomal RNA (428 nucleotides) under uncultured prokaryote. Its description in RNAcentral is "bacterial SSU rRNA". It matches the Rfam family "Bacterial small subunit ribosomal RNA", at positions 355 to 774 of the family's 1533-position model. The record is from RNAcentral.